Long non-coding RNA from Oncorhynchus keta (chum salmon), 442 nucleotides. RefSeq lists it as uncharacterized. Lineage: Eukaryota; Metazoa; Chordata; Actinopteri; Salmoniformes; Salmonidae. The record is from RefSeq and is a predicted model, not a curated record. The transcript is spliced from 4 exons.
GAAUAAGGUUCUGGUACUGACCUGUAUAUACAACCACUCCAGUACCCUGGACAUUGAAUAAGGUUCUGGUACUGACCUGUAUAUACAACCACUCCAGGACCCUGGACAUUGAAUAAGGUUCUGGUACUGACCUGUAUAUACAACCACUCCAGGACCCUGGACAUUGAAUAAGGUUCUGGUACUGACCUGUAUAUACAACCACUCCAGGACCCUGGACAUUGAAUAAGGUUCUGGUACUGACCUGUAUAUACAACCACUCCAGUACCCUGGACAUUGAAUAAGGUUCUGGUACUGACCUGUAUAUACAACCACUCCAGGACCCUGGACAUUGAAUAAGGUUCUGGUACUGACCUGUAUAUACAACCACUCCAGGACCCUGGACAUUGAAUAAGGUUCUGGUACUGACCUGUAUAUACAACCACUCCAGUACCCUGGACAUUGA